RNAcentral lists this unclassified non-coding RNA (253 nucleotides) under uncultured Enterobacteriaceae bacterium. RNAcentral's name for it is "contains 16S-23S intergenic spacer region". It matches the Rfam family "Bacterial small subunit ribosomal RNA", at positions 524 to 776 of the family's 1533-position model. The record is from RNAcentral. Lineage: Bacteria; Pseudomonadati; Pseudomonadota; Gammaproteobacteria; Enterobacterales; Enterobacteriaceae.
UACGGAGGGUGCAAGCGUUAAUCGGAAUUACUGGGCGUAAAGCGCACGCAGGCGGUCUGUCAAGUCGGAUGUGAAAUCCCCGGGCUCAACCUGGGAACUGCAUCCGAUACUGGCGGACUAGAGUGCGAGAGGGGAAGGCGGAAUUCCUGGUGUAGCGGUGAAAUGCGUAGAUAUCAGGAGGAACACCGGCGGCGAAGGCGGCCUUCUGGAUCGCAACUGACGCUCAGGUGCGAAAGCGUGGGGAGCAAACAGG